RNAcentral lists this non-coding RNA (48 nucleotides) under Trichobilharzia regenti. The record is from RNAcentral. Lineage: Eukaryota; Metazoa; Platyhelminthes; Trematoda; Strigeidida; Schistosomatidae.
AUCAAGUUGACGAGUCCCACAUGGGACGAAAUGCGCAUUGUUCUGGAU